CGCCCGACCUCCAACCCUUUGUUGUUAAAACUACCUUGUUGCUUUGGCGGGACCGCUCGGUCUCGAGCCGCUGGGGAUUCGUCCCAGGCGAGCGCCCGCCAGAGUUAAACCAAACUCUUGUUAUUAAACCGGUCGUCUGAGUUAAAAUUUUGAAUAAAUCAAAACUUUCAACAACGGAUCUCUUGGUUCUCGCAUCGAUGAAGAACGCAGCGAAAUGCGAUAAGUAAUGUGAAUUGCAGAAUUCAGUGAAUCAUCGAAUCUUUGAACGCACAUUGCGCCCCUUGGUAUUCCGAGGGGCAUGCCUGUUCGAGCGUCAUUACACCACUCAAGCUAUGCUUGGUAUUGGGUGCCGUCCUUAGUUGGGCGCGCCUUAAAGACCUCGGCGAGGCCUCACCGGCUUUAGGCGUAGUAGAAUUUAUUCGAACGUCUGUCAAAGGAGAGGACUUCUGCCGACUGAAACCUUUAUUUUUCUAGGUUGACCUCGGAUCAGGUAGGGAUACCCGCUGAACUUAAGCAUAUCAAUAGCCGGGAGGAAA
This 536-nucleotide ribosomal RNA is filed under the name Aureobasidium sp. 35L-2-10A. RNAcentral describes it as "eukaryotic LSU rRNA". The stretch from base 163 to 316 matches the Rfam family "5.8S ribosomal RNA". The record is from RNAcentral. Lineage: Eukaryota; Fungi; Ascomycota; Dothideomycetes; Dothideales; Saccotheciaceae.